GGUGCUGUAUCUCAGCCAGUGAUCUCUGUGUUUAUCUUGUAUCUGUGUAGGUGCUGUAUCUCAGCCAGUGAUCUCUGUUUUAUCUUGUGUCUGUAGGUGCUGUAUCCCAGCCAGUGAUCUCUAUUAAUGGAACCAAAGGCUGGGGGGUGGUCCUGAAGUGUAACUCUGGAGGCUGGUACCCACAGCCUGAGCUUGAGUUGUUGGACUAUCAUGGAAACAUCCUCUCUGCUAGCGAACCCACUGAGACAAGCGACUCGUCAGAGACCGAGAUUCACCCUGAGGGUUGCUACACCGUGAGACGAUAUGUCACCAUCCAGAAGACUGACGAUAACAGGUUCACCUGUAGAGUCGUACAGCUGCAGAUCAACCAGACGCGGGAGACUCAGAUUCAUGUCCCAGACGAUAUGUUUCCUAGCGUGUGGUGGAUUGUGGGUAUAGUAGCAGGAGCUGUAGUGGCCUUUGCAGCUUUUGCUGUUCUGCUCUACUUUUGCAGAAAACAACGUGAUAAACUCAGAAAAGAAG
Molecule: non-coding RNA, 522 nt
Organism: Salmo salar (Atlantic salmon)
Lineage: Eukaryota; Metazoa; Chordata; Actinopteri; Salmoniformes; Salmonidae
Source: RefSeq, a predicted model, not a curated record